This 1734-nucleotide long non-coding RNA is filed under the name Monodelphis domestica (gray short-tailed opossum). Its description in RNAcentral is "lncRNA (ENSMODG00000040607.1)". The record is from RNAcentral. Lineage: Eukaryota; Metazoa; Chordata; Mammalia; Didelphimorphia; Didelphidae.
AUGUGUGUGUGUGUGUGCGCGCGCGCGCGUGUGUGCAAUGUUAGUGACAGUCAGACAGGGAGAUUAUCCGGAUCAUGGCCUCCUUGGCUCGGCUGGUUAAUGCAGCCGCCGCUGUUGCAGCAGCCACUCACUCUUAACGAGCUCCAUUUCUCCCCUUCUCACUCACUUGAUUUCCCCAUCCCACCAGCACCCCUGCCGCUGACCCUGAAAGGGAUAGCUCGCGGCACCCUCAGCUUCCACUGCCCUAGAAAAAAAGGUGUGUGUGGGGGGGAGUGCAACCAAACCUUCUCCUCCUCCCCCCCCCCACCCCUCUGUCCUCCUUCUCUUCUUCGUCGUCGUAGUCCUCCUCUCCCCACCUCCACCCGCCCAGCUUCGGAGCUCCGGCCGGACACACUCAACUUCAGCAUUCAACACUCGGUGGCGGCCGUAGCGGCGCCCGCAGCCGGGGCACCCAAGCAGUUGCUGCUGCCGCCCCAUGCAUGCCCCCUCCAGACACAUGCACCAAACGAUCCUCCGUUGCUCCUGCCAGGCAGGCACUGGGGUGGGCACUCGCUGGUACACAGAGAAGAUAGGGGGAAGGAGAGCACCGGGUGCUAUUCUGCAACCCUCUGUUCAACCCUCCUCUCCACCUACCCCCACAUACCAUACAAGUCCACCGGUCUGUCACCGUUGGAAGAAAGGGGGGAAAGGACUUAUGAAGGAUUUUUAUGUGGGUGGCAUGCACUAUGAAACAAGGAAAAGCAAAAUUCAGCAAUUGAUGUGAAGAAUGGACAUGAUGGUUACUUUUGUUUUAGAGAGAAUCUCACAGAAGCAGAUGUGGUUGGAGGCUGAAAGGACUCCAGGAUGUCCAAUGGGAUGUUAAAUUUACAUUAAGCUUUUCCUUCUGGACUUUGAUGAGUCAUUAUUUGGUCUCUGAAGCAGCAGUGUGUUUUUUUUUUCUUUUUAGUUUAGAAGCAAGAGAUAGAGGCCACUUUCUCACGUCUUUAUGGACACAUUCAUUUGUUUAAGUCCAAGUAUAUUAUUAUAAGUUCUUCAAAGAAUAAUUGAUGGUUUAAAAAUUGGUCACAGUUAUAAAGAAAAAGCAUAUACAUACAUAUAUAUCUUCAACAUACAUUUCUAGGCUAAAAGAGGAAAUUAUUAGUCUGAUUAAAAUGUUGUAUAACUAUGAAAAAGAAGUAAAUAUGGUUACUUAAUGAAUGAACGCUAUAUUGACUAUAGAAAUAGAUACUAUAGCUAUAGACUAGAGGAGAAACUAAAUUGGGUCAGCUGCCAUUAAAUUUUAGAGUUGACACUUAAUGCUGCAAUAUCCUAACAAAAAAGUAAUCAUCAAAAUUACAGUUAACCAAGUUUUCAAAAGGAUUUUGUCAGUGUUGAUAAUGAUGUCAAUGACCAACACUAUAAACCAUCACAUUUAAAAAAAAUAUAAAUAUUUUUGAGUGGUCGACUUUAGUGUGGAUAUUUGACAGAAAGUAGUGUUCAAAGGUUUCUAGAGGCAUUCCAGAUGGUAAUUAAAAAAAUAGAUUAGGCUUAUUUCUACAAAUCAAUUUUGCAGAAGAGAAUGGAGAUUUAUAUAAUAAUAUUUUAAUAUAAUGAUUAUACAUCUUCUCAUGGACAACCCAGAAGCGUCAACAAUAAUGAUAAUAAUUUAGUAGACCUCUAUUUCCUUUCUCCUUUUAACUUAUGACUCAUUAGUGUAAGGAACAGAUCUCCUUUGAUUUAUAUAUACUUGGAGAG